GCCGGCGUGGUGAAAUGGUAGACACGGCAGACUCAAAAUCUGCUGGGGGCAACCUCGUAUGAGUUCAAGUCUCAUCGCCGGUA
RNAcentral lists this transfer RNA (83 nucleotides) under Spirochaetaceae bacterium. Its description in RNAcentral is "tRNA-Leu". It matches the Rfam family "tRNA". From Rfam's summary of the family: Transfer RNA (tRNA) molecules are approximately 80 nucleotides in length. Their secondary structure includes four short double-helical elements and three loops (D, anti-codon, and T loops). The record is from RNAcentral. Lineage: Bacteria; Pseudomonadati; Spirochaetota; Spirochaetia; Spirochaetales; Spirochaetaceae.